RNAcentral lists this long non-coding RNA (1234 nucleotides) under Mustela putorius furo (domestic ferret). Its description in RNAcentral is "lncRNA (ENSMPUG00000030287.1)". Lineage: Eukaryota; Metazoa; Chordata; Mammalia; Carnivora; Mustelidae. The record is from RNAcentral.
UGAGAAAUUAAGUUCUCCGCCUUCAUAAUGGUGCUACAAAGCUGUAGCAGCCCUUGGUUACUUUUUCAGAAGUAUUUCUUGGCUCUAGCCUGUCAGCGACACUACAGAUCACCUAGAGAUCACCAGAUGACCUCCUCUGGUCUUGACCUUUUUUCCCACCCUUGCCUUCCCUUGUCCUGCUGGGUUGAGGCCCAGGCUCUGCUCCUCCGGAGUGCUUUGAGUCCAUUCCACCUUUUCUCCUACUCCUGGCUCUUCUCUUUGUUUGAAUCCUUCCUUUUCUUUCCUCCAGGCCUGCUUGAAGCCAUUCAGGAAACCUUUGCUGAGAGCCUCUGUCAGAGCUCCUCCCGCAAACUCUGCUGGAAACAGAUCUAGGUUGGAAUUUGCCCUUGACAAACACAAAAUGAUGAGUGACGCAAGUGAUAUGUUGGCUGCGGCGUUGGAGCAGAUGGAUGGGCUUAUAGCAGGUAAUCUGCGUCCUCUGAAAGAUGGAAUCAUGACAUUUACUCUGCACUUUUGGCUUUUUCAUUCCAACUCUUUUAUUACCUUUUCCACUUUAUUUUCAUUUAUUGGUUGCCUUUAGAUUCCUCGUGGUUUCACGUUAGCCCCUCUUCUCCAUUUUAUACCAGUAUCAUUCUCAAACUUUGUUUGAAAAUGUCUAAUUGCAUUUCCAUACUGUGGUUCUGACUCAAGGAGAAAGAAAGUACAUCUCGGGCAACGCUCUCAGGUUCCCUUCCUCCUCGGGAGCUUUGUACUAUCUGUACUUUACUGUACUCCCAAUAAACCUUGCUUUGCUGCCCCCUCCCCAAAAAAAAGUAAGUAAGUAUAUCUCAUGGGAUUUCGGUGCAGGUAGUAGCUACAGGUCACACUUUGAGAGAUACUGCUCUUCCUAGGAUCCAUGGAUAUUCUGAUCUAUUCCCUUGAAUUCGACAUUUAUUUUGCCACCAGUAACUCUCACUUAUAUUUACUUUCUCAAUUCUCUGCUAAGCAUUGGGUCUCUAACUGCCAAUCAGAUACCUCCUUUGAAAUAGCCUAUAUGCAUAUCCAUGUCAUCACAGAAAGCUUUGAAGUCUUUUUCUUUUCUCAGAAGCCUUUCUAGUAGUCUUUCUUAUCUAGUUUCAUAAUCGUCCAUCCACGCAGUUUUCUACCUAGAAAUUUAAGUCACAUUAGACCUUUGUCCUUCAGAGCCCCUGCUUAGUCAAGUUCUGUCACUUCUAUCUCCCUUUAAAAAUUCUGG